GACCAGGGCUUUGAGCCAUGGUCUCCCCCUCCCAACCCCCGGCCAACAAACCCAGCUCUGAGGCUGAUUCCCCAGCCAGCAGCCUCUCACUGUAAGCCUAGAGGGCUGCCAAUGUCUCAUUCAUCCCGCCAUCCCAAGGCACUGCCUUGGGAUAUCCAGGAAAUAUUGGAAGCUCUUAAAGUAAAUACUGUCCCUUUUUUCAUUAUCAGAAUGGAAAGAAGGAAAUGUCUCUUCCGUAUUGACAUUAUACCUUAUCAUCCCUUCCCUCAGCCUCUUUUUAAUUAAUUCAGAGAAUCCUAUAACACUUGAGGUUUUGGAAGUGUCACCUCCAACGCUUGUAUUUAAUUAGAAGGUAUUCCCAAAUUCGAGGAAUUCUGGGUCACCUUGUCCCUCUUUCCAUCCCCAAAGUUGAGAGGUAACAGGUCCGUCUAUAUUUGAACUGUGAAUGGAUGACACCUUUCUCCUGGGCAAUUUAAGCUGGGAGUUCUUAACCUUUUUGAUUGACAUGGAUGCCUCCCUUGGGAAAUAUGGUGAAACCCAUUGUCAGAAUAAUGUUUUUAAAUGUGUAAAAUAAAAAUGCAUGAGAUUACAAAGAAAACCCAUUAUUUUAACAUAAAAAUGAGCCCUCCCCCCCAAUUUUUUGUUUUUGUUUUAACUUUCCAGAUCCUAGCUUUGAGAUUAAAUAUUCUUUGUUAUAUGGGAUGGCUCUCCUGGAGUGAAAAGAAGUCAGGCUACAAGGGGAAAUUUCAGCAAUGAAAAAAAUGAAAUAUAUCAAUAAAAAUGUAUUUAAAAGAAAUAAAAAUGCCUGAUUAGGUCAGACCUUGCCAAUCAAACAGAUUUCUUAAAUAUUAUUGUUAUUCUUUGCAUCACUAUUUCCAAAUAUAUUUCACCUCCAAACACUCCCCAUGGAACCAUCUCUUGUAACAAAGAAAAAAAAAAAAGAGGAAUAAAAGGAGUCCAGCAAUGCAGAGUCUCACUUUAUGCUACAGCCUGCAAAGGAGAGAGACGGGAGGAUGUUUUCUACUGUCCUUUUGGGGGGCCAAGCUCCAUUAUUGUAAUUGCACAGCUUUUGGUUUCAUUUCUGCUUUUGUUUUUUGUCAAACGGACUUCCAAAAACAAGUGAAGAAAGAAAAAGCAGAAAAUAUGGCCAUUGUUCAUUCACACAGCAGCCCACGAGCCCCCCGGGGGUGCGGAGGCUGGCGUGCUGGUAUUGGAAAUGAAUAACGUUCUAAAUAGGCAUCCUUGAAUUUCCGUGUUCACAAGCCCCAUUCUCCUCUGCUUCUGCUCAUUGGAGAUGGUGGAGCUCCUUGGAAAAGGGACCCAAUUGGAGGGUCAUGUAUGAGUGCCCGUUGGUGGUCUCACCCAGUGGGCCAGGAGUUUAUCUCAGAGACUGCAGGUGCCAGGGGUGGGUAAGUUAUAGUCUGGGUACAAAACCCACUUCUGAUGCCCGAGUUGUUGGGAGAUAAAUGAAAAGGAGGAAAGAUAUCAGGCUGUUUAUGUUUUGUUUUUUCCCAAAUAGAUUUUUUUCUUCUUCUUUUUUUUUUUUUUCUUUAUAUUGCUGCCAGGGGCCGCUGGGCUGCUGACCUGUUCCUCUCUCAAAUCUUAUUUCUUAUCGAAAUAGAAAAUGCAUGAAUUGGUCUGGUGGCUUAAGGGGAAGAGGGUUUCCUGCUUAUAGACUGAUUUGGGGACUGACAGCAGCUUGGAGGAGGGAGAGCUAGGGAGAAGAUAGAAGGCUUGGGAGCAGAUUCUGGCAUUGACAUUUAUUAGCUGUGUGACCUUGCACAAGUCUAUUAGCCCUUUGAACCUCAGUUUUCCCCAUCUAGAAAAAGGGGUGGUUGAGCCACCUGACCUCUAAGGUCCCUGUCAGAUUUUACUUUCUGUGAUUUUAUGUUUAGCUGCUGAAGAAAGGAUGGUUUGGCUUUCCUGGAUCCUGUGCUGACUAAUGCCAUUCUGUUGACUUGCAUUACCACUUUAUUCAGUAUUUACUUUAUUGUGUGUUUAUCCUCAUAGAAUUUCAGAACCAGGGAACCCCAGAGGUCAGCUAGUUUAACCUCCUACCUCAUGAAGGACUCCCUUCUGGGGCUUUCUCAGGGAAGUGAUCAAUUAGCUUCUGUUAAUACACAGCCUGACACGUGGUGUUGGGACAAAAAGGAAUUCAUUUCCUAGAACUUGCCCCAGGUGGUUCAGCAGCCUGAGCCCCUGCAGCCCAGUUCUGAUUCUCCAUGAAGCAGGUACAGGAGCUGAGACCAGGGCCAGGUGGAUGAAACCCCUGCCCUCCCCUUCCUCUCACAUAGAGAACCGGAGAGCAGCCAAAGGCCUGCUGGGCCGCAGAACCAGUUUUAAUUCCUCAUGAGCAUCCAGGCUUCUCUUUCAGCCUAGAAAAAAGUGGGUAUUCAUUUGUGUCCAGCACCUUCUUCCCCUGUCGCUACCUGCCUACCUUAAUGAUCAAAGCUGCUGAUGAGAAAGCAAGAGAUGCCUUGGCUGGAGGACAAAUGGCAGAGGUCCUUCCUCGCCUUGGCCAUCCCUGCCUGGGCCAAGUAAAAUGCCCUGGUCCAUUUAGAAUUAUCUGUAUAUACUUUCUCUAACCCACUGCCGCGAUGGCUCCUCUCAUCUCUGACAUCAGGGCUCGUGCCCCUAUAACUCAUACUCUGAACUCCGGGGGAAAUUCUCUAGAGAAAAGUCAGAGGAAGAAGUGUCUGGGGGAUAAAAGAAACUCACACAGACUCAGCCUAGUUUUUCUGAAUAGGAAGGUGGGAAGGCAUCAGACAUACUUCCCACACUCCCAGUUGUCUCCAGGGGCUGAAAGAAUGACGAUUAACAAAAGUCUGGGUUAACAAAUUUCUCUGUGUGGGAAACAUACCAGUAGUGGGCAGGUCAUUUUGGCAUCUUUUGGGGGCUGUUGUUAAGGAGCUCCAGCCAGCCCUGCUUCCCUCUAUCCACCCACCAACCACCUGCUGGCAGGUACCUUCCCUAGUGUGAUUUUGGUGGGGAAUGAAAUUCCACUAUUUGUUAAAUAGCAUACCACACCAUCUAGUGGUAAGCAGCUGAGCUCAGCAGAAAGGACAAAUCCCCCUGGUUAAUGCUUAUAAAGUACUCUAAGGUUUACUGAACUCUUGACAAAAUUGGAAUCUCACAAUAACCCUGGGAUUGAUUGAUUGGAUGUAGAUACUAUUAUUAUCCUAUUUUAUGUAUAACAAAACCGAGUUUGAGAGAGGGUGACUUGUCUAAGGUCACAUAGCUUUUAAAUAUUUAAGAUAAAAUUUGAACUCACUAUCUUAACAAUGUCAAGUCCAGUGUUCUACCUCCUUGCCAUCUUGCUGCCUCUCAACCUCUGUCUUUUUUUAUGUUUAAAUUUAAUUUUUUGUUCAGUUAACAAAAAUCUCCCUCUCCCAAUAAAAAGAAAAGAAAGCAAUAAACAUUCAAGCAAAAUAGGCAUUGAUGAUGUCCAAAUAAAAUAUAACUCAAUAUGCACCUUGAGUCCAUCUUUUCUCUGACAAUCAAAUAGCAUUUAUUAAAUAUCUACUAUGGGCCAAUCACUCUGCCAAGUAUUGGGGAGGCAAAUUUCUUCCCAAGUUUUCUGUCCUGGAUCAUCACUUUCUUCUGGAAACCCUGUGAAUACCCUGGUCUCAAAGAACUCACAGUGCACUGAGAUUGUCGGGAGUUAAGCAGCAUGUUUCAUCCUAAACCCUCUAGCAUAGUCAGCCCUCAUGUCUUAUCAGUCAGGUUAGCUAGAUCCUCACCCUCUCUUGCUCAGAGAGCCUCAUUUAUUGGUGAUUAAGGGAAUAGGUGACUUAACCACAAUCUUUUUUUUAAUUGCUUCAGUUCUAAGCACUAUGAUAUAAGCCUUAGGUUUGAGGUUGUAUCAGCACUAAGAAUCAGUAGGAUAGAUACUAUUUUUGAGCUUGCCUGAUACAGAAUUUGGCAGCUUGGCUGUCCUGUAACCUUGCCUUGCAGAUAGGUUUUAAGGUUCUGAGACGUUUUCUCCCUUUCAUUGACUAUUCUCCAGAUUUGUUUGCAGUGAUCUUUUUACUUCCAUUCAUCAUUUCAUUUAUUAACUCAAAUAACCUUAAAUUUGGAAGGAAUCUUGGAGGUCAUCCAUCCCAAACUGAAUCUCAUCUUCAGUGAGUAGUCAUCUGCCCUUGCUUGGAUAAUCACAGGAGUUCACUAGUUUGUAAUGUGGUUAAUUCUACUGUUGAUCAUCAGAAAAUUCUUCCUUGUGUUGAACUAUAUAUAAUCUGCCUAAAUUCUUGAGCCAAGGACUGAUGUGGUUAGACCUAUCUAUGAGGACUAAUUUUUUUUUUUUUUUUGCUCAGGCAAUUGGGUUUAAGGGACUUGCCUAGGCUCACACAGCUAGGAAGUGUUAAAUGUCUGAGGCCACAUUUGAACUCAAGUCCUGCUGACUUCAGGGCUGAUGCUCUAUCUACUGCAUCACCUAGCUGCCCUUGCCUGAGGACUAGUAAUUUGGAUUAUCCUACAGAUGAGCCAGUAAAACUGGAAAUUAGGGGCAGGGAGACCAUUUAGGAGCCUCUUAUAAAAAUAUGGGAGAGAGGUAAUAAAGACUUGAACUAGAAUGAUGGCCAAGUGGAUGGCAAGCAAAAGAGAUCAUGUGGAAAGAAAGUUGCCACAGAUUAGUUAUGGGGCAUAAGAAAAAAGGAAGACUCCAGGAUGAUGCUAAGGAUUCAAAUCUGGAUAACUGGAAGGAUGGAGGUGCUGUCAAAAGAAAGAGGGAAAUUUGGGGAAGGGAUGACUUAAGGGAAGAAAUAUGAGUUUGGUUUUUAGACAUGUUGAAUUUGUAGACCAUGUAGGUGGACAUGUCCAAGAGAUAAUAAGGAACUCGAAUUCAAGAGAGAUUGGGUAUUAGAUGUAUAGAUUUAGAACUUGACUAUAUAGAUAUGAUUAUUAUAUAGAGUAGGCAGGUAAGAAGAAGUGAUAAUCCAUUACAGGAAACUUGAAAAGGAAUGGUCAGAUAGGUAGGAGGACAAGCAAAAAGGGAUAAUUGUAACGAAAACCUAAGGAGGAAAGGAUGUCUAGAUAGGGGGGUAGAUUGUAAAGUCAAUAGUUGCAAACAAGUUAGGAAGGAUAUGGACUGGGUAGGUGGGGGGAGAUAUUGCAUUUGCCUUGAAUAAAGCAGUUUCAUUCAGUGAUGCAGUAAAAGUCAGAUUUCAAGAGUUUGAAAUGAAUGUAGGAAUUGAGAAAAUUGAUGUAGAUAACUUACUUUGUUUGACUAUGAAAGGGAAAAGAGAUGUAGGCAGAUAGCUUGAAGAAAUGGCAGUUAUGUGAAGGUUUUUUAAAGAUAUGGAAUGUUUGUGGGUAAUGGGAAAGGAGCUAGUAGAUAAAGGGAAAUUGAAGAUAAAGAGAAAGAGAGAAUUGGAAUAAUCAAGGGCGCAAGUCUUGGAAAAGAUAAGAAGGGAUUAUAUGAGAAACACAAGUGGAAGUAUUAGCAAGGAGAA
Long non-coding RNA from Antechinus flavipes (yellow-footed antechinus), 5450 nucleotides. RefSeq lists it as uncharacterized. NCBI's taxonomy places the organism in Eukaryota, Metazoa, Chordata, Mammalia, Dasyuromorphia, Dasyuridae. The record is from RefSeq and is a predicted model, not a curated record. The transcript has 2 exons.